Macaca fascicularis (crab-eating macaque) is the source of this 148-nucleotide unclassified non-coding RNA. It matches the Rfam family "Metazoan signal recognition particle RNA". From Rfam's summary of the family: The signal recognition particle (SRP) is a universally conserved ribonucleoprotein. It is involved in the co-translational targeting of proteins to membranes. The eukaryotic SRP consists of a 300-nucleotide 7S RNA and six proteins: SRPs 72, 68, 54, 19, 14, and 9. Lineage: Eukaryota; Metazoa; Chordata; Mammalia; Primates; Cercopithecidae. The record is from Ensembl.
GCUGGGCGUAGUGGUUGGCGCCUGUAAUCCCAGCUACUCAGGAGGCUGAGGCAGGAGAAUCACUUGAACCCAGGAGUCAGAGGCUGCAGUGAGCUGAGAUGGCGCCACUGAACUCCAGCCUGGGCAACAGAGUGAGACCCUGUCUCAA